This 77-nucleotide transfer RNA is filed under the name Halopseudomonas sabulinigri. RNAcentral describes it as "tRNA-Arg". It matches the Rfam family "tRNA". Rfam says of the family: Transfer RNA (tRNA) molecules are approximately 80 nucleotides in length. Their secondary structure includes four short double-helical elements and three loops (D, anti-codon, and T loops). Lineage: Bacteria; Pseudomonadati; Pseudomonadota; Gammaproteobacteria; Pseudomonadales; Pseudomonadaceae. RNAcentral also lists the same sequence under 5 other names. The record is from RNAcentral.
GCACCCGUAGCUCAGCUGGAUAGAGUACCGCCCUCCGAAGGCGGGGGUCACUGGUUCGAAUCCAGUCGGGUGCACCA